Molecule: ribosomal RNA, 498 nt
Filed under: uncultured bacterium
Lineage: Bacteria
Description: partial 16S ribosomal RNA
Rfam family: Bacterial small subunit ribosomal RNA
Source: RNAcentral
GACGAACGCUGGCGGCGUGCCUAAUACAUGCAAGUCGAACGAGAGCGACCGGUGCUUGCACUGGUCAAUCUAGUGGCGAACGGGUGAGUAACACGUGGGUAGCCUGCCCAUCAGAGGGGGAUAACAUCCGGAAACGGAUGCUAAAACCGCAUAGGUCUUCGAACCGCAUGGUUUGAAGAGGAAAAGAGGCGCAAGCUUCUGCUGAUGGAUGGACCCGCGGUGCAUUAGCUAGUUGGUGAGGUAACGGCUCACCAAGGCCGUGAUGCAUAGCCGACCUGAGAGGGUGAUCGGCCACAUUGGGACUGAGACACGGCCCAAACUCCUACGGGAGGCAGCAGUAGGGAAUCUUCCGCAAUGGACGCAGGUCUGACGGAGCAACGCCGCGUGAGUGAAGAAGGUUUUCGGAUCGUAAAACUCUGUUGUUAGAGAAGAACAAGUGCUAGAGUAACUGUUAGCGCCUUGACGGUAUCUAACCAGAAAGCCACGGCUAACUACGUG